AAAACUUUACACUCACUUUCGGUCAUAUCAGCAGCAUGUAAAGUUAAACCUUCUAAAAAAUGUACAAAGGAAAACUAAAUGUAGUAGCUACAAGACUAUCUGAAAAAACAGAACACAACAAAGAUCCACACUACUAUGUAUCCAUUCCUUGUGCGAUUCCUGUCCCUGUAAAAUACUACAAAUACUACAGAUCAGCAACAAACUUUUGGGACUCAAAGAUACAGGAAGAAGAUAAAUUUGGGAUUUAAGAUAUGAAUCUCAUUUCGAUAAACAAAUGAUUUCGACAUAACAAAAGUGAAAGAUAAAAACAUUUCAACUGCCGUGUUCAACACAUAUGACAGAUCUCUUAAUCAGGAAAGAAGCAACACGAGUGAGCAAGAGAUUUGCCUACCGGAUUAACUACAUACUAAAUGAGAAACAAGUGAAUGGAUGGAUGUUGCAGUAAUCAACAAUCCUAAUUCAGAUUUCAGAGGAGGUAUGGACUCAUACCUCUUUGAGAAGCACCGCUCGCGUUGGAUAAACCCGCCCGGCCGGCAGAGAUGACGCAUGCGGCCUAGCGUGAUAGGGGCGCCGCCUAGGGAUGAGGGACCACCGCCGCUGUCGGUCUGGGAAGGGGCACACCAUGCGCCUGAUGCGCCCUGCUGCAGGACUCUUGAGGCGCCAUCGAGAACUGGAUCCGGAUCCACGCGGGAGGAGGGUGCCUGCCACUGCCACCAUUCGGUGGGAGAGGAGAGACAGCUUGCUUCCACCGCCGCCAUUGAGGAAGAAGGCGGGGAAUAGUGGUCGUCGUCGGAAUGGAAGGGAGAGGAGCGCUGUCGUCGGGAGAGAGAUGGCCACCACAGCCGCGUCGGAAUAGGGCAGGGCGGCGCGGUCAAUGAUUUGGGGGAGAAGGGUCGCCGCGGAGUCGUGUGGCCGGUAGGAG
Molecule: long non-coding RNA, 922 nt
Filed under: Sorghum bicolor (sorghum)
Lineage: Eukaryota; Viridiplantae; Streptophyta; Magnoliopsida; Poales; Poaceae
Description: long non-coding RNA (SBIC_LNC016964)
Source: RNAcentral